Dreissena polymorpha is the source of this 660-nucleotide long non-coding RNA. RefSeq lists it as uncharacterized. Lineage: Eukaryota; Metazoa; Mollusca; Bivalvia; Myida; Dreissenidae. The transcript has 2 exons. The record is from RefSeq and is a predicted model, not a curated record.
AUCGUGAUACAUCGGCUAUCUCGGAUUCCUCCGUAAGAUAGGCCUCGUGGCUAACGGUCGCCAUAUUGCCUUGUAUUACUACUUUACUACCCAAAAGGUUGUCAGUCUAUUGUUAUGAGGCUGUAUACGAUGCGCGUUGAACUAGCGCCAAACUUUUUACCGAAACUUUGAUAUAAAUAGCACUAUUAACGUUCAUUUGUGUUGCAUUUUGACCUAUUAUCCAAGUGAUUUACUUUUCCAUUUUUAUUUAAUCACCCUAUCAUCCAAUUUUUAAGAUAAAAUUACGGUGUUUACAAAACCAACCAAACCGAAAGUGAAACUGGAUGCAUUACGUUUCGCGAUGUAAACAUUAAAUAUUUGUUCAGUUUGAGGAAGCGAAUCGAUAAUAGACGUUGAAAUAUGUAUGCAAUACAGACUAUCAUUGCCGAUUGUAGUACUGGCUAAAAAAAUACCUUUUAUGACAGGUUUACUGGAUUAUGAAAGACUGAUAAACAUAAAAUUGACAACUCAUCUCCCCAACGAUACUUUGUGUGGCUCAUUCUCGGAACAAACCCAUAGUCAGUGAGAAAACUACAGUGUAAAAAGACCACUUGAUUGUGACAAUUAUGGCUGACCAAGCAAAUGUUAUCAUUUAAAAUAAAGAAAACUUCCAGUUCAAUA